CUAAAACUUGGGGUUGGGAAACUCCGGUGAAAUUCCGGGACUGUGCCGCAACUGUGAUGGGAUUGCCUAAGUCAGAAUGCCAAUUCUCAG
RNAcentral lists this non-coding RNA (90 nucleotides) under Nostoc calcicola. Lineage: Bacteria; Bacillati; Cyanobacteriota; Cyanophyceae; Nostocales; Nostocaceae. The record is from RNAcentral.